RNAcentral lists this ribosomal RNA (470 nucleotides) under uncultured bacterium. RNAcentral's name for it is "bacterial SSU rRNA". It matches the Rfam family "Bacterial small subunit ribosomal RNA", at positions 30 to 514 of the family's 1533-position model. The record is from RNAcentral.
AUUGAACGCUGGCGGCAUGCCUUACACAUGCAAGUCGAACGGCAGCGCGGGGCAACCUGGCGGCGAGUGGCGAACGGGUGAGUAACAUAUCGGAACAUACCCUAGAGUGGGGGAUAACGUAGCGAAAGUUACGCUAAUACCGCAUACGCACUAAGGUGGAAAGUGGGGGAUUCGCAAGAACCUCAUGCUCAUGGAGUGGCCGAUAUCUGAUUAGCUAGUUGGUGAGGUAAAGGCUCACCAAGGCGACGAUCAGUAGCUGGUUUGAGAGAACGACCAGCCACACUGGAACUGAGACACGGUCCAGACUCCUACGGAGGCAGCAGUGGGGAAUUUUGGACAAUGGGGGCAACCCUGAUCCAGCAAUAACCGCGUGAGUGAAGAAGGCCUUAGGGUUGUAAAAGGCUCUUUUACCCGAGAUGAUAAUGACAGUAUCGGGAGAAUAAGCUACCGGCUAACUCCGUAGCCAGCAG